AUUGAACGCUGGCGGCAGGCUUAACACAUGCAAGUCGAACGGUAGCAGGAGAAAGCUUGCUUUCUUGCUGACGAGUGGCGGACGGGUGAGUAAUGCUUGGGAAUCUGGCUUAUGGAGGGGGAUAACGACGGGAAACUGUCGCUAAUACCGCGUAUUAUCGGAAGAUGAAAGUGCGGGACUGAGAGGCCGCAUGCCAUAGGAUGAGCCCAAGUGGGAUUAGGUAGUUGGUGGGGUAAAUGCCUACCAAGCCUGCGAUCUCUAGCUGGUCUGAGAGGAUGACCAGCCACACUGGAACUGAGACACGGUCCAGACUCCUACGGGAGGCAGCAGUGGGGAAUAUUGCGCAAUGGGGGGAACCCUGACGCAGCCAUGCCGCGUGAAUGAAGAAGGCCUCCGGGUUGUAAAGUUCUUUCGGUAUUGAGGAAGGUUGAUGUGUUAAUAGCACAUCAAAUUGACGUUAAAUACAGAAGAAGCACCGGCUAACUCCGUGCCAGCAGCCGCGGUAAUACGGAGGGUGCGAGCGUUAAUCGGAAUAACUGGGCGUAAAGGGCACGCAGGCGGUUAUUUAAGUGAGGUGUGAAAGCCCUGGGCUUAACCUAGGAAUUGCAUUUCAGACUGGGUAACUAGAGUACUUUAGGGAGGGGUAGAAUUCCACGUGUAGCGGUGAAAUGCGUAGAGAUGUGGAGGAAUACCGAAGGCGAAGGCAGCCCCUUGGGAAUGUACUGACGCUCAUGUGCGAAAGCGUGGGGAGCAAACAGG
Molecule: ribosomal RNA, 759 nt
Filed under: Haemophilus influenzae
Lineage: Bacteria; Pseudomonadati; Pseudomonadota; Gammaproteobacteria; Pasteurellales; Pasteurellaceae
Description: bacterial SSU rRNA
Rfam family: Bacterial small subunit ribosomal RNA
Source: RNAcentral